Molecule: ribosomal RNA, 446 nt
Filed under: uncultured bacterium
Lineage: Bacteria
Description: partial 16S ribosomal RNA
Rfam family: Bacterial small subunit ribosomal RNA
Source: RNAcentral
CCUCCGUUCUUCCGCCGUCUCUACUCAUUCCCCCUUUUUUCCCCCCUUCUUGUGCGCCGCCGCGUGGGGGAAUGAAGGUCUUCGGAUUGUAAACCCCUGUCAUGUGGGAGCAAAUUAAAAAGAUAGUACCACAAGAGGAAGAGACGGCUAACUCUGUGCCAGCAGCCGCGGUAAUACAGAGGUCUCAAGCGUUGUUCGGAAUCACUGGGCGUAAAGCGUGCGUAGGCUGUUUCGUAAGUCGUGUGUGAAAGGCGCGGGCUCAACCCGCGGACGGCACAUGAUACUGCGAGACUAGAGUAAUGGAGGGGGAACCGGAAUUCUCGGUGUAGCAGUGAAAUGCGUAGAUAUCGAGAGGAACACUCGUGGCGAAGGCGGGUUCCUGGACAUUAACUGACGCUGAUGCUCGAAAGCGCGGGUAUCGAACAGGAUUAGAUACCCCUGUAGUC